This 1015-nucleotide ribosomal RNA is filed under the name Chroomonas sp. Its description in RNAcentral is "eukaryotic LSU rRNA". It matches the Rfam family "Eukaryotic large subunit ribosomal RNA", at positions 68 to 1012 of the family's 3401-position model. The record is from RNAcentral. Lineage: Eukaryota; Cryptophyceae; Pyrenomonadales; Chroomonadaceae.
ACCAGGAUUCCCCUAGUAACGGCGAGUGAACCGGGAAGAGCUCAAGCUGAAAAUCUUCGGAAUUGUAGUCUAUAGGUUUGAACUCGUGCAGCGCCGGGUAUAAAUCCUUUUGGAAUGAAGGUUUGCCAGAGAGGGUUAGAGCCCCGUCUUUGACUCGGGUAGCUGUGCGUGGCGAGUUUAUUCCUGAGAGUCGGUUUGCUUGGGAAUGCAGGCCAAAAUGGGUGGUAAACUUCAUCUAAAGCUAAAUAUUGGCGAGAGACCGAUAGCGAACAAGUACUGUGAAGGAAAGAUGGAAAGAACUUUGAAAAGAGAGUGAAAAAGGGCUUGAAAUUGUUAAGAGGACAAGUGAUUGGAGCAUAUCAUACGGGGGGUCAUUCCAAGUCCGGGGCUUGUCCUGGGAUGCACCAUGGUCUCCUGUUGGUCAGCAUCGAUUCUGUGUGGGGGAGAAAGCUGCAGUUGUUGCGGGCUUCGGCUCAAUCGAUUGUAGUGCAACCCCGGAUGGGAUCGAGGCAGGAAGCGCACGCUUGGCGGCCGGCCUUUUGUCCGUGUGAUGUAUGUCUGUUGACCCCAUUGGGGUGGGCGGAUGUAUGUUAUUCGAUGCAUGAGAGCGCUGGACCUGUGUGCUUAAGAUGCUGGCACAAAUGGCUUCAAUCAGCCCGUCUUGAAACACGGACCAAGGAGUCUAACACGUAUGCGAGUAGUAAGGUGGCAAACCUUGGAUGCGCAAUGAAAGUAAAUGUAGGUGGGAUCCGCAAGGUGCACCAUCGACCGACCAGGAACUUUUGUGAAAGGUUUGAGUAAGAGCAUAUUUGUUGGGACCCGAAAGAUGGUGAACUAUGCCUGAAUAGGGUGAAGCCAGAGGAAACUCUGGUGGAGGCUCGUAGCGGUACUGACGUGCAAAUCGUUCGUCAAAUUUGGGUAUAGGGGCGAAAGACUAAUCGAACCAUCUAGUAGCUGGUUCCCUCCGAAGUUUCCCUCAGGAUAGCUGGAGCUCAUACAAGUUUUAUCAGGUAAA